Molecule: ribosomal RNA, 624 nt
Filed under: uncultured bacterium
Lineage: Bacteria
Description: bacterial SSU rRNA
Rfam family: Bacterial small subunit ribosomal RNA
Source: RNAcentral
CCGGAUAGGUAGCAGACAAGCAUUUGACUGCUAUUAAAGUGGCUAAGGCCAUGAACAUGGAUGGACCUGCGGUGCAUUAGCCAGUUGGUGAGGUAACGGCCCACCAAGGCGACGAUGCAUAGCCGGCCUGAGAGGGCGGACGGCCACAUUGGGACUGAGACACGGCCCAAACUCCUACGGGAGGCAGCAGUAGGGAAUUUUCGUCAAUGGGGGGAACCCCGAACGAGCAAUGCCGCGUGAGUGAGGAAGGUCUUCGGAUCGUAAAGCUCUGUUGUAAGAGAAAAACGACAUUCAUAGGGAAUGAUGAGUGAGUGAUGGUAUCUUACCAGAAAGUCACGGCUAACUACGUGCCAGCAGCCGCGAUAAUACGUAGGUGGCGAGCGUUAUCCGGAAUGAUUGGGCGUAAAGGGUGCGUAGGUGGCAGAACAAGUCUGGAGUAAAAGGUAUGGGCUCAACCCGUACUGGCUCUGGAAACUGUUCAGCUAGAGAACAGAAGAGGACGGCGGAACUCCAUGUGUAGCGGUAAAAUGCGUAGAUAUAUGGAAGAACACCGGUGGCGAAGGCGGCCGUCUGGUCUGUUGCUGACACUGAAGCACGAAAGCGUGGGGAGCAAAUAGGAUUAGA